RNAcentral lists this long non-coding RNA (5853 nucleotides) under Daucus carota (carrot). RNAcentral's name for it is "long non-coding RNA (DCAR_LNC004249)". The record is from RNAcentral. Lineage: Eukaryota; Viridiplantae; Streptophyta; Magnoliopsida; Apiales; Apiaceae.
GGCGUAUCUUCGAGAAGGUUCCACAAGCUCCCCGACAAGGACAACUCGCCAGACUACAGAGCAAGGCCUCCUCUAAUCUUCAUUCUCUAUCUCCCAAGGAGGGCAACUCCUCAGACUGCAAGGUAGAGUCUUCGACAAAUUAACAGUAGGAUCUAUACACACCCAAGGGCGUCCCCCUAGGUAAAAUAUGUCCCCUUCUGCCCUUCAAAUGACGAUCUUUCUCUGUAAGCUUCAACUUGGCGCGCCCUGAAAAUAAGGCGCGCCCUAUCUUCUUGAACUGGUCUCUUCUGACUGACAUGGCUAGUUUGGGCUUGGUCCAAUGUUGAGCCCAUCAUAGUCUUCUUUUAUGGGCCAGGUCUUCAUGGUGAUUUUUGCGUAUAACAACUACCCCCCAGAUCUUGGUGGCAUUGAAAAUGUCGACGAGAUCUUGAUGUCCUUCAGCCCCUGAGAUGUCCUAUCUUGGUUGUUCUUCGUUGAUGCAGAAGAUGUUGACGGUAUAUAACUAGGCGCGCCAUAUGUUGAAGGAGAUUCCUUUGAAGUCGAUGUUGAAGAAGUUGUUUGAAGAUGAUGAUAAUUCUGCUUGACGGAGGUGAAGGCAGUACUUGCUUGAUGGAUAUGAAAGUAGUGCUUGCCUGAUGGAGACGAUGAUGAGGUUGCUGAGGAUGAGGCCGUGGAAGCCGAGACUGAGUCGAUGAAGAUGAGGCUGCGGAAGCCGAGGCUGAAGGAGAGGCCGCGGAAGCCAAGAGUGAGUUGAUGAAGAUGAGGCCGCGGAAGCCGAGGCUGAAGGAGAGGCCGCGGAAGCCAAGAGUGAGUUGAUGAAGAUGAGGCCGCGGAAGCCGAGGCUGAAGGAGAGGCCGCGGAAGCCAAGAGUGAGUUGAUGAAGAUGAGGCCGCGGAAGCCGAGGCUGAAGGAGAGGCCGCGGAAGCCAAGAGUGAGUUGAUGAAGAUGAGGCCGCGGAAGCCGAGGCUGAAGGAGAGGCCGCGGAAGCCAAGACUGAGUUGAUGAAGAUGAGGCCGCGGAAGCCGAGGCUGAAGGAGAGAUGAGGCCGCGGAAGCCGAGGCUGAAUAUGAGGCCGCGGAAGCCAAUGCUCGAGGAGAGAUGAGGCCGCGGAAGCCGAGGCUGAAGAUGAGGCCGCGGAAGCCAAUGCUAGAGGAGAGAUGAGGCCGCGGAAGCCGAUGCUGAAGAUGAUCCGCGGAAGCCAAUGCUGGAGAUGAGGCCGCGGAAGCCGAGGAUGAAGCAGAAGAACGUGCCUUCUACCACGUCUUAGAUGAGGAUGAGGCGCGCCCUUCCUAUCCAAAUCCUUCGUCUAAUCUGUAUGAUCACCCCCCAGUUUCGGAGUAUGAGCUUGACUUGUAGAUGCAGGUUGGAGAAGACAGUGUUGCGAAGUUGUGUUGUGACGUAUAUUUACUCUGAAUCUUGAAGACUGGAGUGUUGGACGCGUCUCUGUAUACUAUAUAUAUACACAAUUAUAUUUAGCAAAAAAAAAAUAAUAAGGUUAGUAUUUACCUCAUGGCGCGCCCUGUUAGGGGAAGGCGCGCCUCUCGAUAAUUCCAAGAGAACGUUGUUCGGGGGAGACACAUUUUGUAAAUAUCCUCCAUUUACAUUACUUUCAUCCUGAGCUCGCCUUACGAAAUUCUUUGAAUUUUUUCUCAUCCUGUCUAAAAAUAGCUUACUAAAUAAAAUAUUAGGUUAGAGGUACACAACAUUUAUUAUAUAAACACCACACAUAAAUAUAUCAAUAUAUUUGUGGUAUCAUAAUAAUAAUCCAAUCUCGAUAAAAGAUAUAUAUAAUUCGAUUAUGCAUAAAAUAUUUAAAUUAAAACAUAUAUAUCCAAGAAUAAAUAUAUGCAUGACAAGAGUAUAUAUACCAAAUGAAAAUUACAAAAUUGAAAAAUACUUAUCUUUUUCUUGAACAUGUGAAUCUCCAUGUACCUGCACUUAUAUAAAUUCAACUCUAAAAUAAUACCCUGUAUAUAGAGAUAUUGCAGCAACAUACUUUCUUAUUAGGGCACCCUGCAAACACAUAUAUCAUGUGCUGCACAUAUCUAAAACAUCCACUAAUCUCAAACAAAAUAAUUUACUAUGACAUGAGAUAAGAGUUUAAUACAACAUAAUUAUUUUAAUAUAAAAAGCUACCAAUGACAAUAUUAUGCAUAUUAAAGUAACAAGCAAAAAAUGUAUGCAAUAUUUAAUUUACAUAAAAUUCACAAGAAUAUACGAAGAAGUACUUAAAAGGAAUUACGUAUCUCAAGAAAACAUGUUGUAGUUUCUUCCGGUGUGUGUUUGCUUGCACCACCGCCCCAUCCUUUUGCAAAUUUAUAUCUCUCAUUGUCAAGUAUGUAGACAAUAGCAUAUGUACCUGCAAAAUCUUUUACUAUAUUCUUUUCUCAGAGAUUACGAUAAGUAUAAAUAAUUUCUUAAACAAUAUUAUAUUUAACAAUUUAAUCAAAUAAUAUUACAUUAAACAUUGCGGAGGAUAAAUUGAAAAUAGAAUACUUAUCUUAUUUUAUUUGUGUCAGAUUUGGAGACGGAUACUCCGGAAGGAUUCCGUGCUUUUCACCUGUACUAACUGUAUGUACCACAAUUCACAAGUUCUCCGCGCACAUCUUUUAGUACUAAAUUAAUUUAAUCAUGCAUGUCACAAAAGGUCCGAAGUCAUAAAAUAAAAUCUAAUUUUGAGUUUAUGCAACAAUUUUUAAAUUAAUGUAAUAAUAUGUCAAGCAGAAUCCACACAUGAGUUUUAAUCGAUAUACUAUGUAGUGCAUGAUAAAAUAUUAUUAAUGCAGGGCACAGUUAUUUAUGUGAUAUAAAAACUAGUAUAAGAAAACUUAUCUGAUUCCGAACUCCUUGCAAUUUAUUGAUAUUCCUUCUUCGCUCACAUGAGGAACACCUUGUGACUCUCAAAAUAUUAGUUUCUUCCUAAAUUUUAAAACUUACUCUCUGCAUUGUUUUCCCUGUAUGGCUCAAAAUAAAUAUCAAGUAAAGAGUUUCGAGAUCAAACUAUAUUCACCACGAUAAUAUUUUACACAAAAUUCAUACCAUAACAAACGAGACAUACUAUAGUAAUGGGCAUGUAAUUAUAUAUUAAAAAAGUAAGAAUUGACUUAUCAAAGAUUUUAACAUGGGGACAGCUAGCAGCCCACUCCUCAUUCAGAAUAUCUUCUAAUUUGAAAUUCCUGACGAAAGCUGCAUCUCUUUUAUCCUGCACAAUAUCUUAGCUACUGGCACAUGUUAACUGAAAACGUCUUCAGCUUUGUUUUAUAAACAUAAACAAAAAAGAAAACUCUCCCAGCUUUCCUGCUUAGAACUUCGCUCCUUGUGUGCCAGUAUCAAUCUUCAUCGCCAGGAUGCAAUCACGUGGAAUGGUUUAACUCAUAAAAUGCGUCAACGUGAUAUAUGGGAUAGUAUUCGCACAUCUGGUAUGCAGCCAGACUGGUACAACAUGGUUUGGUGUAGAUUUUCGGUUCCGAGAUUUGCUUUCACAACCUGGCUAAUCAUUCAAGAAAAAUUACUCACAAAAGACAGAAUGAGGGACUUCCGUAUGCAAGUUGACAGUAUAUGUGUCAUGUGUGGUACUCACAAUGAAACACAUCCUCAUCUUUUUACUCUCUGCAAUUAUGUGAAAGGUAUUUUUAAUGCAUGGCCUUUUGCCAUAUCUUCUGUUUGGGCAGACUUUCAGUUGGGAAGACCUUGCAGUGCCCAGAAUAUCAAAAACAUUGAAAAAGAGAUGUCUUUUCUCUUUAUUUCGGCAGUUUUCUACAAUAUUUGGAGGGAAAGAAAUCGACGUAUUCACCAAGGUUCCCCUCGGCUAACUAAUAUGCAACUACUGGGAAGCAUUAAACGGGAAGUUCGUGAGAAGCUUGCAUCUUGCACUUAUUUUAAAGACUGUAUUUCUAAAGAUCGCACCUUAGUUACUCUUUUGUAUUAAUAUUAAUAUUAAUAUUAUUCUUGUUGAUAAUAUUAAUAUUGAUAUUAUAUUUAGUGGCCAUCCUGGAUAGUCUGUUUCAUUUCUGUUCUACCUUGUGUUAGCUUUGGUUUAAGUUCUUCCGCGGGGUAUGCCCCUAGAAUUGUAUUCUUCUUCUUUCUUUAUUAAACCUUUAUUUAGCAAAAAAAAAAAGAAUCCUUUACAUAUAUAGUAUAAUAUUAGUCUAACCAGACUUAGUAUUGUAUAAAUAUUAAACUUAAUUUAAUCAAUAAUCAUGAAUAAAAACUAAGCAUUAGACAUGUGUAAUAAUUAUGAUAAGUUCUAGACGUGUGCACUUCAUAACAAUGAGAUAAAAUAAAUAAAUAAAGCACAAUUAAUGAGCAGUAUUAUAUGUAAUUGCGAUAAUUAAAAUUAAGAAAAAGAUAAAGAAAAAGAAAGCUUAUCUCGAUAUCCGCGUAGUUUGUUAUUCCUGCUGCUUGGGACUUAUUUACAAGAACAAGAAUUCCCUCAUACUCUCUCCUAAUUUCAAUCUCAUGCUUCAUGCCUUCUGAUGCUUUAAUACCAAAAACAAUAGUCUCCACGACCUUUCUUUACGAGAGUGCUUAUCUGGAGCCGAGCCACCACCCACAUAAAUAACAGAACAAUCCUGCUAUUGAUCUCCACACUUUCCUCAUGCGAGUUUUAGGGUUGACUCCCGUCGCCAACGUGAUCAAGCCUUUUAUUAUGUAAGGUUAAGUCUUUAUCGUGACAGCCAUCAUAAAUUGAUCCCGGGAUCAGUCCUGCGCAAUCAUAAGUUACCACUCCAUGUAUGUGUUAUUAGAACACUUUUCUUUUACAAAUUUUUCACUAAAGAUUAAUUAAUAAGAAAAUACAAAUAUCAUGCCAGAAACUUUGUUAAUUCUAUAAAAAGAUAAAACCACUAUAUAUGAAAUUGUGAAAAAUUAAAAUAAUAGAGAAGAAAACUUAUCUUUAGUAGAUCAGAGAUAGUCCGGAAUCCAGGUUGCGUGCCACAUCCAGAAAACAUGCAACCACGACCAUGUCUAAUUUGAUGUUUAAUAGCGUGGUUUGAGUACGUCUGUGACGAUCGUUUGUCCUCCACAAACGAAAGAUCUAGAAUAGCCCCUCCUUCUAGCGCCAAUUUGUUAACGGAGGAAUUUGGUAGUUAACAAAAUUUGAGGUUCAUGGCCGGAAUCAAGAUCUAUGACGGUGGCUGAGCGGUGGUGAUGAAAUUUUAGGGGUGGCUGAGAUUAGGGUUUCGAGUUGCCUCCAGAUGCUCCCAACUCGUGUCCCCCUAAUUUGCCUACGUACCCCUAUAUUUAUAGGGGAUCAAGCCAGUACGUAGUUCUUUUCUCCUUAGGAAACCUAAACCUAAUAGGAUUAGGCUUCCCCUUCUGCUAUCUUCCUCCUGAAAGGGGCCCAAUACGAUGAGGCCUAGUCUUGGGCCUUGUAGACUCUCGAGCACCCAAAACUUACCCCAAAUGCAAGGGCACUUCUCUACUCCCCGACAGGGACAACCCGCCAGACUACAGAGAUAGAGCCUUCCAGGGCGUAUCUUCGAGAAGGUUCCACAAGCUCCCCGACAAGGACAACUCGCCAGACUACAGAGCAAGGCCUCCUCUAAUCUUCAUUCUCUAUCUCCCAAGGAGGGCAACUCCUCAGACUGCAAGGUAGAGUCUUCGACAAAUUAACAGUCGGAUCUAUACACACCCAAGGGCGUCCCCCUAGGUAAAAUAUGUCCCCUUCUGCCCUUCAAAUGACGAUCUUUCUCUGUAAGCUUCAACUUGGCGCGCCCUGAAAAUAAGGCGCGCCCUAUCUUCUUGAACUGGUCUCUUCUGACUGACAUGGCUAGUUUGGGCUUGGUCCAAUGUUGAGCCCAUCAUAGUCUUCUUUUAUGGGCCAGGUCUUCAUGGUGAUUUUUGCGUAUAACA